Molecule: ribosomal RNA, 119 nt
Organism: Arachis duranensis
Lineage: Eukaryota; Viridiplantae; Streptophyta; Magnoliopsida; Fabales; Fabaceae
Source: RefSeq, a predicted model, not a curated record
AGGUGCGACUAUACCAGCACUAAUGCACCGGAUUCCAUCAAAACUCCGUAGUGAAGUGUACUUGGGCGAGAGUAGUAGUAGGAUGGAUGACCUCCUGGGAAGUUCUCGUGUUGCACCUC